Stegodyphus mimosarum is the source of this 73-nucleotide non-coding RNA. The record is from Rfam. Lineage: Eukaryota; Metazoa; Arthropoda; Arachnida; Araneae; Eresidae.
GCCUUCGUGGUGUAAUGGUCAGCACACUGAGCGGGUAUUCGAGAGGUCCGUGGUUCGAUUCCCGGCGAAGGCA